ACGAACCGAGCGAACGUUGUUCGGAAUCACUGGGCUUACAGGGUGCGUAGGCGGCCUGACAAGUAGGGUGUGAAAGCCCCCGGCUCAACCGGGGAAUAGCGCCCUAAACUGUCGGGCUGGAGUGAGAUAGGGGUGUGCGGAACUUCCGGUGGAGCGGUGAAAUGUGUUGAUAUCGGAAGGAACGCCGGUGGCGAAAGCGGCACACUGGAUCUCAACUGACGCUGAGGCACGAAAGCCAGGGGAGCGAACGGGA
RNAcentral lists this ribosomal RNA (253 nucleotides) under uncultured prokaryote. Its description in RNAcentral is "partial 16S ribosomal RNA". It matches the Rfam family "Bacterial small subunit ribosomal RNA", at positions 525 to 777 of the family's 1533-position model. The record is from RNAcentral.